CCCUUAGACGUUCUGGGCCGCACGCGCGCUACACUGACACAGGCAACGAGCUUUCCUUUACCGAAAGGUAUGGGUAAUCUUUUGAAACUGUGUCGUGCUGGGGAUAGAUCCUUGCAAUUUUUGAUCUUAAACGAGGAAUUCCUAGUAAGCGCGAGUCAUCAACUCGCGUUGAUUACGUCCCUGCCCUUUGUACACACCGCCCGUCGCUACUACCGAUUGAAUGGCUUAGUGAGGCCUCAGGAUCCGCGCUUAAUGUGUGGAGAAUUUGGACAAACUACGUCAUUUAGAGGAAGUAAGAGUCGUAACA
RNAcentral lists this ribosomal RNA (307 nucleotides) under uncultured eukaryote. RNAcentral describes it as "partial 18S ribosomal RNA". It matches the Rfam family "Eukaryotic small subunit ribosomal RNA", at positions 1470 to 1796 of the family's 1831-position model. The record is from RNAcentral.